This 72-nucleotide transfer RNA is filed under the name Bos taurus (domestic cattle). It matches the Rfam family "tRNA". From Rfam's summary of the family: Transfer RNA (tRNA) molecules are approximately 80 nucleotides in length. Their secondary structure includes four short double-helical elements and three loops (D, anti-codon, and T loops). The record is from Rfam by way of RNAcentral. RNAcentral also lists the same sequence under 4 other names. Lineage: Eukaryota; Metazoa; Chordata; Mammalia; Artiodactyla; Bovidae.
UCCCUGGUGGCUCAGACGGUAAAGCAUCUGCCUGCAGUGCAGGAGACCCAGGUUCAAUCCCUAGAUUGGGAA